Molecule: ribosomal RNA, 374 nt
Filed under: uncultured organism
Description: bacterial SSU rRNA
Rfam family: Bacterial small subunit ribosomal RNA
Source: RNAcentral
CGGGGGGAGCAAGCGUUGUUCGGAUUUACUGGGCGUAAAGGGCGCGUAGGCGGCCUCCGCAAGUUAGUUGUGAAAUCUCCGAGCUUAACUCGGAAAGGUCAACUGAUACUGCGGGGCUAGAGUGCGGAAGGGGCAACUGGAAUUCUUGGUGUAGCGGUGAAAUGCGUAGAUAUCAAGAGGAACACCUGCGGCGAAGGCGGGUUGCUGGGCCGACACUGACGCUGAGGCGCGAAAGCUAGGGGAGCGAACGGGAUUAGAUACCCCGGUAGUCCUAGCCUUAAACGAUGAAUGCUUGGUGUCUGGGGUUAUAUAGUCCCCGGGUGCCGUCGCUAACGCUUUAAGCAUUCCGCCUGGGGAGUACGGUCGCAGGACUG